Molecule: ribosomal RNA, 199 nt
Filed under: uncultured bacterium
Lineage: Bacteria
Description: partial 16S ribosomal RNA
Rfam family: Bacterial small subunit ribosomal RNA
Source: RNAcentral
AGUCUGCAACUCGAGUGCAUGAAGCUGGAAUCGCUAGUAAUCGCGAAUCAGAAUGUCGCGGUGAAUACGUUCCCGGGUCUUGUACACACCGCCCGUCACACCAUGGGAGCCGACAACGCCCGAAGUCAGUGACCUAACCGAGAGGGAGGAGCUGCCGAAGGCGGGGUUGGUAACUGGGGUGAAGUCGUAACAAGGUACC